AAGUGCUGUGUUUGUUUGUCCAACCCCCCACCCCCCCAACCUGCCUCUUUACAGGGACUAUGGCGCUCUUAUACUUUUCUUUGCUCCUGUAAGAACU
Long non-coding RNA from Etheostoma spectabile (orangethroat darter), 97 nucleotides. RefSeq lists it as uncharacterized. Lineage: Eukaryota; Metazoa; Chordata; Actinopteri; Perciformes; Percidae. The record is from RefSeq and is a predicted model, not a curated record. The transcript is spliced from 3 exons.